This 1891-nucleotide long non-coding RNA is filed under the name Octopus sinensis (East Asian common octopus). Its description in RNAcentral is "uncharacterized LOC115215885". Lineage: Eukaryota; Metazoa; Mollusca; Cephalopoda; Octopoda; Octopodidae. The record is from RNAcentral.
CCUUCAUUUAAUGCCAUACUACAUCUAAUGCUUUGUAAUAGCUGUGUCUGUCAUUUCAAUUAGUACGACUACAGCUUUUGCUCCUCCAAACUGAAUGCAAACACUACUUACUCCAUAUUAAAUACUCUAGGUAAAAACGGACUAAGUCGAUAUUGCAAUGAAUUACCAAUCGUUUUUUUUUAUUUACUUUUGUAAGUUUAAUAUGAAGGAAGGAACAGUGCUCCAAGACCAAUGAGACUGAUAUUGUUAAUAUUCUGUGCAAGCUGUUGCAAGUCAAUGGUUGGAAGGAAAAUGUGUAAAAGGAGGGAAUUCCAGAGAGCUGUUCUGGGAAGACUGGGGUGGUGGGUUCGACACCAUAUAAGUGAUAAGAGGAGGAGAAGCAAGAGCGUGGGAUGUGCAUGAAUAGAAGCGGCAGGAAACGAGCCAGUCAAUGUCUAUGAGACCACUGUAGUUGCAGUAGAAAGGACAGCGAGAGGAGACAGUUUAUCUGCGAGCUAGAGGUUGGAAUGUUUCUGAGCAACUUUACACCAAUACAUCAUGUAGCAUUUUUAAAACUCUUUGGAUGAACACUAGGAUGCCUGUGUCUAUUCCCAAGUCCAAAUUAAUUGGUGCCACAAUCUGUGUUUGCUACUUAGUUUUUCACACCUCAAUCCACAUAGAAAGCAGAAACAACCAAAUCAAUAUUACUGUUUUAGAUGGGAGUGAUGUCUUAACUGAGAUACUUCUAAGUUAACUGACUAAGGAUGUGGACCCAGAAUGGUGGAAUCGGUGCAGAUGUUUAAGUCAAUAUGAGAAAGAAAAGAAAACGGACAGGAUUUUACUUUGAAUAUUUGCAACAAAAGAAGUCUGCUAAAAGCAUGCACAGUCAAAAAUAGUGUCACACCUAAAGCUCUCUUUGAUAAUGAGUGGCAAAAAAAUUGCAGUCAGGGCCAUUUUACACUACCCAUGGAAAAAAAGGACUAAGUGCAAGGGCAGUAGCAAAAGAAAUUAACGAUGAGGAAGGUCCAGGAACUGUCAACAAAUGUGUGGCACAAAACUGAUUAAGACAUUGCAAGGAAGGUGACACUAGCCUCAAAGACAAAUCAAGAUCAGGGAGACCUUCUGUUUUGAAAAAUGAGACCUUGCUUGAAAUAGUUGAACAACAGCCAAGCACAAACACUCAUAUAUUGUUGUCAGAAUUUAGUCCUUCGCAAAGCACCUUCAACUGACAUCUCUAUAAGCUCAGCUUUGUAAACAGAUGCUGUUGAGAAACCCCUCAUGAACUGACCAACGGUUAGGCUCAACAACAUGUGAACAUUUGCAAACAACUUCUGGCAAAUCCACAAGAUGCCCAUUUUUGGAGUUGAAUUGUAACUGGAGAUGAAAAAUGGAUCUAUUUUUGUAAUAGGUUCAUCCUGACUAAGCUUCAGAACCUAAUGUCAAACAAGGGGAGUUCAAACAAUGUGUCUGGUGGAAUUUUGAGGUGGGGUUGCACUUUGUAUUAGUCUCAGGCCACGCUGUGAAUGCUAACAUUUAUGCUUAGCAACUGCAAUGAGCAUCUGAUGCUUUGAAGGCAUUGGUCAAUCAAAGAACGCACUCCUACAGUAUGACCAUGCCCCAGCAAAAACUGUCAAUGGGACCAAGGACAAACUUGAGCAACUUGAAGUGCUGCCUCACCCUGCCUACAGUCCAGAUCAUGUACCAUCAGAUUACCACCCUUUCCAAGUCAUGGUUCAUUUCCUGUACAAAAAGAGGUUUAACAAUGUGGAGGAGGUUGAAAACAGGUGCAGGGAGUUUUUUCACUUCUAAACCAAUCAAAUGGUAUAAGUGUAGAAUUGAGUUUCUGGUACAAAGACAGCAACAUACAACAGAAUGUGAUAUGAUAUAUUUUGAUGAAUAAAAAUGCUUUUCA